GAAUUCGAUUCAGGCCUAACACAUGCAAGUAGAGGGGUAGGAGCAGCUUGCUGCUUUGAGAAAAAAGCACGGGUGCGUAACGCGUAUGCAAUCUACCUUGUACAGGGGGAUAGCCCAGAGAAAUUUGGAUUAAUACCCCAUAGUGUUUAGAAGUGGCAUCACUUUUUUACUAAAGUUCCAACGGUACAAGAUGAGCAUGCGUCCCAUUAGCUAGUUGGUAUGGUAACGGCAUACCAAGGCUAUGAUGGGUAGGGGUCCUGAGAGGGAGAUCCCCCACACUGGUGGGGAGACACGGACCAGACUCCUACGGGAGGCAGCAGUGAGGAAUAUUGGUCAAUGGUCGCAAGA
RNAcentral lists this ribosomal RNA (348 nucleotides) under uncultured bacterium. RNAcentral describes it as "bacterial SSU rRNA". It matches the Rfam family "Bacterial small subunit ribosomal RNA", at positions 43 to 382 of the family's 1533-position model. The record is from RNAcentral.